AAAGCUCAAAUUUAAAAUCUGGCAGUUCUUGUAGCUGUCCGAGUUGUAAUUUAGAGAAGCGUUAUCCGUGCUGGACCGUGUACAAGUCUCCUGGAACGGAGCGUCAUAGAGGGUGAGAAUCCCGUACAUGAUACGGACUACCAGUGCAUUGUGAUGCGCUCUCAAAGAGUCGAGUUGUUUGGGAAUGCAGCUCAAAAUGGGUGGUAAAUUCCAUCUAAAGCUAAAUAUAGGCGAGAGACCGAUAGCGAA
Molecule: ribosomal RNA, 249 nt
Filed under: Merulicium fusisporum
Lineage: Eukaryota; Fungi; Basidiomycota; Agaricomycetes; Agaricales; Pterulaceae
Description: partial 28S ribosomal RNA
Rfam family: Eukaryotic large subunit ribosomal RNA
Source: RNAcentral